CUCUAGAGAUAGAGCUUUCCCCUUCGGGGGACAAAGUGACAGGUGGUGCAUGGUUGUCGUCAGCUCGUGUCGUGAGAUGUUGGGUUAAGUCCCGCAACGAGCGCAACCCUUAAGCUUAGUUGCCAUCAUUAAGUUGGGCACUCUAGGUUGACUGCCGGUGACAAACCGGAGGAAGGUGGGGAUGACGUCAAAUCAUCAUGCCCCUUAUGAUUUGGGCUACACACGUGCUACAAUGGACAAUACAAAGGGCAGCUAAACCGCGAGGUCAUGCAAAUCCCAUAAAGUUGUUCUCAGUUCGGAUUGUAGUCUGCAACUCGACUACAUGAAGCUGGAAUCGCUAGUAAUCGUAGAUCAGCAUGCUACGGUGAAUACGUUCCCGGGUCUUGUACACACCGCCCGUCACACCACGAGAGUUUGUAACACCCGAAGCCGGUGGAGUAACCAUUUAUGGAGCUAGCCGUCGAAGGCGGGACAAAUGAUUGGGGUGAAGUCGUAACAAGGUAGCCGUAUCGGAAGGU
Molecule: ribosomal RNA, 518 nt
Filed under: uncultured bacterium
Lineage: Bacteria
Description: bacterial SSU rRNA
Rfam family: Bacterial small subunit ribosomal RNA
Source: RNAcentral